AUUCCGUGAAAUCAUUUCAUGCUGCGCAUAUGAUAGGCUAUAAAAUAUGGUGAUUUUGUUACAUGGCCGGCUCUUUUUUAACUAAAGACCUCUACAUCUUUGUACUAGAUAAGCAGUUGGAAGAUAAAUGGACGAAUGGAUGUACAUUCUGUAAAGGACACUACAGCGGGGCUUGCCUGACACCACCAACCUCUGAGCUACAAUCCCUAUUUACAAACAUACCCCCUGAUCCCUAGUAGCAAACAUGGGGGUAACUUAAUAGUUCAUACACUGAACCGACCGAUAAAUAUAGACACCCUUGCAUUGUUCGUUUGGGAAAAGCUGUGUUUUGUCUCCGCUGUAAAGGUAAUACUAUUUGCUGUUUAAGACGCAGAAUGCCUGUUGACUUAAAUCAGUGAUAAACAUUUGGCUCUUAAUCGGAGAUGUUGCCUGGUUUGCCCUGACUCCAUUCUGGAAGCCCUCGGAGCUGUUUUUAAUCUGCAGUAACUCCCCUCAGUAAGCAUCGAUGACUCUCUCUCUCUCUGUAGGCUGGCUUCACGGCUUAUGGCAGCACUUCAGACAGAGCUGCUCGUUAAAGCUUGGGAGCGCAACUGAGAAACGAAGUGUCGGACAUUGGCGAUUAACCGGGAACUGGCUCGUUAAGCGACGGCAUUUCACUGAUUCGCUACGCGAUUAAUUUGCUAAUCGGUUUCAUUUGACACGUCAACGUGUUCAUUAACAUCGCAGCCGAAGUGUGAAACACCCCGGUUUUGGGUGAGGUGAGUCUGGGACAGAAUUUUUCCUGGAUCUCGCCAGCUAAUGACGGCUCAUAUGAAACUAUUGUGCAGUACGAUUCCUAUGGGUCUUCCUGGAGAUGUUUUAUGUGCUGUUCCGGGUCUGCUUGCACCCCGCACAUAUACCGAUCCCAUCAGGACGAAAGGCAUUGAUGUAAUGUAAUUUAGUCACAGUUUAAACCAAUUAACUUGCUAACAACGUGUGUUUGCUGGCAUUGUGCAAACACUGAGCUCUGGAACACAAUGCAUAGAUGAUAGCAUAUUUCAUUCCUAGGUUUUGUUCAAACAACACUCGCAUACUUUUUUCGGACUCGUGCAAGGUCGUCAUGCCUGGGGGUGGCUGGCUUUUUACAUCCAGUGUUUUUUUCUCCGGUAAUUACCUUAGGGAUUCGUUUUUUUCCCUGCCUUUUCCAUAUAAUAAUUCUGCAGAGCUGUAACUAUGUCAAUAUUUUUCCCUUUUCAAAUGCACGUAUAAGGUUGUUGCCAAAUGUUUGCUAAGCUUUUUAGGGGCAGUCAUGAAAGGACCUGCGCUAUUGACUGUGGCUUCCUAGUGACUGCCCCCUGCUGGACCUGAAUGGGAUUUCUACCGUGGGCGCCAUCACAGACGUCUGUGUACCAGGGUCAGGUGACUGGCAUGGGUCUUGGCGUACAGAUUUGCUUUAAUGUGCUUAGUGCUGCUGUUGUUUCUGCGAGGCCAUUUUGGGGGCCCUAAGUAGAGCUGGACAUUUGGUUCUGGAUGUUCCUUCAAACCAGUGGUGCACCAACUUGUAGUCAAGAUACAUCCAUCCAUCCAUCUUCUAUACCUGCUGUGUCCUGAAAUGCCAGAGAUUACAGGAAAGACAUUGACCAAGAAAGUUGCAGAAACCAGCCAGAAAUAAACAGGAUCGGGGGCCUGAUUGUCAGGAAUCGGAAUUGGUAUCAGAAAGUCUUAUUUUCCCUCUAUAUUAGAACUGAUCAUCAGAGUAUGUCACCAAACGUCAAACACGAUCACUGCCAAGAAAGCAAUUAGCCAGGGCUCCAUCCCCGAUCUCAGGCCACUGAGCGUUUGGUCCGAACCACAAAUGGGUGCCGUUACACGUCGCGAGCUUCUGAGACUCACUCUGCCUGGUUUGUUGUUGACCUUCAGAGCGAAUUUAACGUCUGCUUUGUCACUGAGGCUAUUGGUGGUGCGUGGAUGCAAACGCAGCAUCACUUUGACUUUCAAGGGGCUCGUAGCAAAUGUUGCUGCGUUUCCACUAAUGUCAGCAACGCAACACAGUUAGUGCGUAUGAAGGUAUUACGCGGCAUCCAUGAACCAGAAAAGCAGCUGACAAAAACCUGUCGGUCUUUAUUUAUUAUGGUUAUUUAAUGUAGCUGUUUAGCAGGCACUUCUGUUCACGGUGCCUUAAAGUGCUUAAAAGCUUUCAUUUAACCCGUUUAUACAACUGGAUGUACUGAAACAAUUAUGAUUAGGUGUCUUGCCCAAGGGUUACGAUGGCAGGAGCUUCCUGGUGCUUCACCAACAGCUUAAGUCCUUAAUGUCUACCGAGUCAUCUGUCAUCCAGAGGCUGUGAGUUGGCUCCCACGUGUCUGCACUGGCGUUUCUGGCGACCCCUAGUGGCUGAAGGACACACGCCGGUCAUUCUGAUACAGUUGCAGCUCCCGGGGGUCUGGGAUGACCCAGAUAGCUGGAAACCGUUCGUCGCCCUCCAUCAACACUUCAAUCUCAGUGCGGGCCAACUCCUCCAGCUCAGGGGUCAUUUCCGGGCACCAGUCGGUGCUGAAUUUGUCCCGCGCCUCCCAGAGAGAAGCCUCUAAUUCCUCAGGCUGCUCCCCAAACAGAUAGUCUACAGGGAUUGGGGUGCAAAAGAAGCAGAGUGGAACACAGUGGGUGAGGCUCACACACACACACACACACACACACACAGACCUGUACUCAUAUCUUUAUGGGGACCGUCCAUUCAUUCCUAGGGGUAAAACCAUAAUCCCAACAAUGAUAAUAUGUGUCCUGACAGUCCAAGGCGGGGGGGGGGGUUGUACCAUCCCUUGAGCUUUGUGUCCUUUUUGCGAAUCCCACACGAGGCUCACCUGCCAGGUCGUGGAUGAGGUCCCUGAUGAGGUGUCCGAUGAUGGCGUACAAGACCGUCACCACGAUCAGCGUCGCCAUCAGCAGGUACAGGACGUACUUGGGCAGGUGGAUGGCAUCCCGUGUGGGGGGGACGUAGUUCUUGAACAGAACUUCCACCUGCUGAUUGUCCUGGUACGAGCUGACAUCCAUCGCUCCCGUCCCUGUCUCUGCUCCUCUUCGGACACUCAGUGCUCCCACCCCCCCAAGCUUCACGGUGAGAGGGGGAGCCUCCUCACCACCCCCACCUGUUCUCUCAUCUACGGUGGGCCACCUAUAAGACAAAAACAUCCAAUAUGCUCGCUCCAGUUGCCGAAUGUGUCCAGCUUUCUAUACAGUAAUCCAUCCCGGCCCACAGUACAGAACUGAUUCAUCAGUAUCCUUGCUCUAGCCAAGCCGCCUGAGAGCCUCUCGGAGAAGGUGAUGAAGGAGCUGCUAUCCUGACUCCUGUCUCCACUCCCACCGCUUCAGCUGGCCCUCUGGUGUCACAGCUGAGCCAUCCAAGCGCAUGGUGAGCUGAGCUCGGCUUAGAAGAAAGUGGACCUAAGGACUACUGAAGGACAACGUCCUGAGAAGGAUGAGGCCUGGAAAUCCCAAUGCCAGGCAAGGUACUUGGAGCACGUGGAGCGGGGAGGGAAAGGUUGACGCCCCGCAGUGUAAAUUAGGAAGUUGUUAAUCAUAAGCUGCUGAGCCCUGAGUGGCUAUGACAAAGCCCCCACCUACAACUCCUAAUAUAAACCUCAAAUCUAAGUGUGAAUGAUCAGCAGCAAAGAUGUUUCUGGGUUAGUGCAGGAUAGAUAUAUAACAAAACAAAUCGCAUGUUUGAAGGCCUGCAAAUGGAUGCAGAGCGAUGUUGACAUUUGGGAGCACAAGAUCACUUCCUAUCCUGGAACAUCUUGAUGUUUCCCCACCAGACACACUGAAGCACCCUAAUCAUAAAUGAGGCGCGUGGAACUGUGAGAUUUCGAAUGGGUCUCCAGACAUCUUUGGUGACAUUUAGAGAUGCUUUAAUAAUAUUUUUAUACAGGGUAGAUUUGCUUCUUUUUUUUUUUUUUGUUAGUAGCCACUAAAAGUGAAAGUUUCAUUCUGGAUAUUGAUAAGAUCGUGGUUUUUCCAGACCACAUGUCAGUUUGCUGGUGCGCUGGAUUUUUGUCUUUUACUAAAUUCAAACUAGCGUUUUGAGAAAUUGAGAUUAAUUCCUAUCUCUACUGCAAUAACCGACAAUGUCCAAACAUUUCUGGUCAUGACUCUACCUUGGUUGAGGCGUUUGGAGAUACAGCAAAUAGCAUGUACAUUAUUAAUAUUGGAAUAAACUAUUGUACUAUAUUGCACUGAGUACAAUGUUCCAGCACUGUCAAAAACAAACUUGUUAAAAUGUUUAGUACUAGUACAUGUUUUAUUUCAGAGUUUUUUCCCCAGAGGUCCAGGGCAAAGCGUCUCAUAAAUCAUGGACGUAGAGGAGAUCUCCAUUACAGACUAGGAUUUAGAUAAUCUCUGUUACUCAGCCUGAAGCUUCGAUGACCUGGAUACAACUAAUCUGGACAUUUACAGCUGCUAAAUUCACACUGACGGCAGCUGAAGAUAAUAGAUAAUUGGAUGUAGUAGAGGCGAGGUAUGGGUUACAGCUAAUUGUUUAUUUAAUACAGAUCAGGACAUUUCAAUCACAGACCCUGAGCAAGUUCAGAUCAUACAAGUGUUAAUCUGUCAAAACAACUUGUCAGUUCACUGCAAUACAAAGUAUUGGCUGCUUUGAAACAGUGUAUGAGUAACUUACCACCUCAGUCUAUGUACACGCUAACCUACACAAAGCAGUGAUCAGAAUGA
This is a long non-coding RNA of Brienomyrus brachyistius, 4701 nucleotides long. RefSeq lists it as uncharacterized. NCBI's taxonomy places the organism in Eukaryota, Metazoa, Chordata, Actinopteri, Osteoglossiformes, Mormyridae. The record is from RefSeq and is a predicted model, not a curated record. The transcript is spliced from 3 exons.